This 253-nucleotide ribosomal RNA is filed under the name uncultured bacterium. Its description in RNAcentral is "partial 16S ribosomal RNA". It matches the Rfam family "Bacterial small subunit ribosomal RNA", at positions 524 to 776 of the family's 1533-position model. The record is from RNAcentral.
UACAGAGGGGGCAAGCGUUAUUCGGAAUUAUUGGGCGUAAAGGGCGCGUAGGCGGCUUUGCAAGUGACGGGUGAAAUCCCUCGGCUUAACCGAGGAACUGCCUGUCAAACUGCAUGGCUUGAGACCGGGAGAGGUGAGUGGAAUUCCCAGUGUAGCGGUGAAAUGCGUAGAUAUUGGGAGGAACACCAGUGGCGAAGGCGGGUCUCUGGGCCGAUACUGACGCUGAGGAGCGAAAGCGUGGGGAGCGAACAGG